AGCUACUGUCAUAUAGUGGUUAGUAUCUUGGACUUUGAAUCCAAUCACCUAGGUUCAAAUCCUAGCAGUAGCUG
This 74-nucleotide transfer RNA is filed under the name Prasinovirus sp. RNAcentral's name for it is "tRNA-Gln". It matches the Rfam family "tRNA". From Rfam's summary of the family: Transfer RNA (tRNA) molecules are approximately 80 nucleotides in length. Their secondary structure includes four short double-helical elements and three loops (D, anti-codon, and T loops). Lineage: Varidnaviria; Bamfordvirae; Nucleocytoviricota; Megaviricetes; Algavirales; Phycodnaviridae. The record is from RNAcentral.